Molecule: RNase P RNA, 353 nt
Filed under: Flavobacteriales bacterium
Lineage: Bacteria; Pseudomonadati; Bacteroidota; Flavobacteriia; Flavobacteriales
Description: RNase P RNA component class A
Rfam family: Bacterial RNase P class A
About the family: Ribonuclease P (RNase P) is a ubiquitous endoribonuclease, found in archaea, bacteria and eukarya as well as chloroplasts and mitochondria. Its best characterised activity is the generation of mature 5'-ends of tRNAs by cleaving the 5'-leader elements of precursor-tRNAs. Cellular RNase Ps are ribonucleoproteins.
Source: RNAcentral
UAUGCAAACCGAGCUGUCGCUUCCCGAUUUAUGUCGGGAAGAGGAAAGUCCGGGCAGCGCAGAGCACCGUACCUUUGGAAACAGGGGGUUCCGGUGAGGUGACUCAUUGGAAACAGCAAGUGCCACAGAAACUAAACCGUCUCGACUUGUCGGGAUAAGGGUGAAACGGUGGAGGUAAGAGCCCACCCCGCACAUAAGCAAUUAUGCGCGAGGGUAAACCUUGCGGGAUGAAAGGCCAAAUAUACCGGGGAUUGAGGGUUGCUCGCCCAAUCCCGGAGGGUGGGUCGCUUAGAUAGAUGACAGCACUCCGAUUAAUCGGAGAACAGAACCCGGCUUACAGGUUUGCGCAAAAA